Molecule: ribosomal RNA, 406 nt
Filed under: uncultured bacterium
Lineage: Bacteria
Description: partial 16S ribosomal RNA
Rfam family: Bacterial small subunit ribosomal RNA
Source: RNAcentral
AUUGCCCGCUGGCGGCAGGCCUAACACAUGCAAGUCGAACGAGUGGCGGACGGGUGAGUAAUGUCUGGGAAACUGCCUGAUGGAGGGGGAUAACUACUGGAAACGGUAGCUAAUACCGCAUACCAUCAGAUGUGCCCAGAUGGGAUUAGCUAGUGGGUGGGGUCCCGGCUCACCAAGGCGACGAUCCCUAGCUGGUCUGAGCGGAUGACCAGCCACACUGGAACUGAGACACGGUCCAGACUCCUACGGGAGGCAGCAGUGGGGAAUAUUGCACAAUUGGCGCAAGCCUGAUGCAGCCAUGCCGCGUGUAUGAAGAAGGCCUUCGGGUUGUAAAGUACUUUCAGCGGGGAGGCGUUACCCGCAGAAGAAGCACCGGCUAACUCCGUGCCAGCCGCCGCGGUAAUUC